GAGUUUGAUCAUGGCUCAGAUUGAACGCUGGCGGCAUGCCUUACACAUGCAAGUCGAACGGCAGCACGGGAGCUUGCUCCUGGUGGCGAGUGGCGAACGGGUGAGUAAUGCAUCGGAACGUAUCCUGGAGUGGGGGAUAACGUAGCGAAAGUUACGCUAAUACCGCAUAUUCUGUGAGCAGGAAAGCGGGGGACCUUCGGGCCUCGCGCUCUUGGAGCGGCCGAUGUCGGAUUAGCUAGUUGGUGAGGUAAAGGCUCACCAAGGCGACGAUCCGUAGCAGGUCUGAGAGGAUGAUCUGCCACACUGGAACUGAGACACGGUCCAGACUCCUACGGGAGGCAGCAGUGGGAAUUUGGACAAUGGGGGCAACCCUGAUCCAGCCAUGCCGCGUGAGUGAAGAAGGCC
RNAcentral lists this ribosomal RNA (405 nucleotides) under bacterium enrichment culture clone ALO1_GLFRUDD03HJ0XJ. RNAcentral's name for it is "bacterial SSU rRNA". It matches the Rfam family "Bacterial small subunit ribosomal RNA", at positions 9 to 416 of the family's 1533-position model. The record is from RNAcentral.